CUCCUCAAUGUUCUGGGCGACACGCGCACUACAAUGUCAGUGAGAACAAGAUUACCGACCUUCUGAUCGGACCCACUUGAUUCAAAAGAGGGGGGAAACACCGGAAUCACAUCGACCCGCUUGGGACCGAGUAUUGCAAUUAUUGGUCGCGCAACGAGGAAUGUCUCGUAGGCGCAGCUCAUCAAACUGUGCCGAUUACGUCCCUGCCAUUUGUACACACCGCCCGUCGCUCCUACCGAUCGAAGAGUUAGGUGAAUUGUUUUGAUCGAUAAGAUUUGACUAUGGUCAACUCUCGUUGUGAAAUUCUGUGAAUCUGACUGUUUAGAGGAAGGAAAAGUCGUAACA
Molecule: ribosomal RNA, 345 nt
Filed under: uncultured eukaryote
Lineage: Eukaryota
Description: partial 18S ribosomal RNA
Rfam family: Eukaryotic small subunit ribosomal RNA
Source: RNAcentral